UACGAAGGGGACUAGCGUUGUUCGGAAUUACUGGGCGUAAAGCGCACGUAGGCGGAUUUGUUAGUCAGGGGUGAAAUCCCGGGGCUCAACCUCGGAACUGCCUUUGAUACUGCAAGUCUCGAGUCCGAUAGAGGUGGGUGGAAUUCCUAGUGUAGAGGUGAAAUUCGUAGAUAUUGGGAGGAACACCAGUGGCGAAGGCGGCUACCUGGACCGGUUCUGACGCUGAGGCGCGAAAGCGUGGGUAGCAAACAGG
RNAcentral lists this ribosomal RNA (253 nucleotides) under uncultured bacterium. Its description in RNAcentral is "partial 16S ribosomal RNA". It matches the Rfam family "Bacterial small subunit ribosomal RNA", at positions 524 to 776 of the family's 1533-position model. The record is from RNAcentral.